This 559-nucleotide ribosomal RNA is filed under the name uncultured bacterium. RNAcentral describes it as "bacterial SSU rRNA". It matches the Rfam family "Bacterial small subunit ribosomal RNA", at positions 777 to 1345 of the family's 1533-position model. The record is from RNAcentral.
AAUAGAUACCCGGGUAGUCCACGCCGUAAACGAUGGAUACUAGCUGUUGGGGGUAUCGACCCCCCCAGUAGCGAAGCUAACGCGUUAAGUAUCCCGCCUGUGGAGUACGGUCGCAAGACUAAAACAUAAAGGAAUUGACGGGGACCCGCACAAGCGGUGGACCAUGUUCUUUAAUUCGAUGAUAAACGAAGAACCUUACCAGGGUUUGACAUCCCGAGAAUUACUCCGAAAGGAGUGAGUGCUUUAUUGAACUCGGUGACAGGUGAUGCAUGGCCGUCGUCAGCUCGUGUCGUGAGAUGUUUGGUUAAGUCCAUCAACGAGCGCAACCCUUGUGAAUAGUUGUUAUUUUUUCUAUUCAGACUGCCCCGGGCAACGGGGAGGAAGGGAGGGGAUGAUGUCAGGUCAGUAUUUCCCUUACAUCCUGGGCUAGAAACGUGAUACAAUGGCCGGUACAAUGCGCAGCGAAGCCGCAAGGCGAAGCAAAUCGUAUCAAAACCGGUCCCAGUUCGGAUAAGAGGCUGAAACUCGCCUCUUUGAAGUCGGAAUCGCUAGUAAUCGC